This 253-nucleotide ribosomal RNA is filed under the name uncultured bacterium. RNAcentral's name for it is "partial 16S ribosomal RNA". It matches the Rfam family "Bacterial small subunit ribosomal RNA", at positions 524 to 776 of the family's 1533-position model. The record is from RNAcentral.
UACGAAGGGGGCUAGCGUUGCUCGGAAUCACUGGGCGUAAAGGGUGCGUAGGCGGGGCUUUAAGUCAGGGGUGAAAUCCUGGAGCUCAACUCCAGAACUGCCUUUGAUACUGAAGAUCUUGAGUUCGGGAGAGGUGAGUGGAACUGCGAGUGUAGAGGUGAAAUUCGUAGAUAUUCGCAAGGACACCAGUGGCGAAGGCGGCUCACUGGCCCGAUACUGACGCUGAUGCACGAAAGCGUGGGGAGCAAACAGG